Molecule: ribosomal RNA, 253 nt
Filed under: uncultured bacterium
Lineage: Bacteria
Description: partial 16S ribosomal RNA
Rfam family: Bacterial small subunit ribosomal RNA
Source: RNAcentral
UACAGAGGUGGCAAGCGUUGUUCGGAAUUACUGGGCGUAAAGCGCACGUAGGCGGACAUUUAAGUCGGGGGUGAAAUCCCGGAGCUCAACUCCGGAACUGCCUUUGAUACUGGGUGUCUUGAGUGUGGAAGAGGUGAGUGGAAUUCCGAGUGUAGAGGUGAAAUUCGUAGAUAUUCGGAGGAACACCAGUGGCGAAGGCGGCUCACUGGUCCAUUACUGACGCUGAGGUGCGAAAGCGUGGGGAGCAAACAGG